RNAcentral lists this long non-coding RNA (237 nucleotides) under Elaeis guineensis (African oil palm). RNAcentral's name for it is "long non-coding RNA (EGUI_LNC054143)". Lineage: Eukaryota; Viridiplantae; Streptophyta; Magnoliopsida; Arecales; Arecaceae. The record is from RNAcentral.
AUCACUGAAUGUGACCAACUGUGGAGCACUCUGCUGUCAAGAGUAGCUCACAAAAGGUAUGGGUAUAAGUGUCUCUCCGACCUGAGAUCACCAUAGUGACUUACAAGCAACUCACUAUACUUUGAUGCCAAACAAACUGAGUUUUUAAUUUAGUGACAGAAGAUUUUUGGGUGCAGUCAAGUACUUAUCAAGUCGGUGUGUGAAUCAAAAUGGGAUUGACCCCUCUGAAUUAGUAGG